CAACUUCAACUGGGAGAAGAUCUGUUCAUUCUUCAAAACAGCCAUGGAAAACAGCCUGCUCUGUGGUGUGGCCCUUUGUUUCUGGGGAAUGAUCACAGAUCUUGUGGACAUGAAAGUAACCCAGACCCCAAGAUACCUGGCCAAAAGAGUAGGAGAGAAAGUUUUGUUGGAAUGUUCACAGGAUAUGGGACACGAAAGAAUGUACUGGUAUCGACAAGACCCAGAUCUGGCACUACAACUGAUUCAUUUCUCAUAUGAUGUUGACAAUAAUGAAAAAGAAGAUAUCCCUCAGGGGUACAAUGUCUCUCGGAAGAAGAGGGAGCACUUCUCCUUGAUUGUGGAGUCUGCCAGCACCAAGCAUACAUCUCUGUACCUCUGUGCCAGCAGUUUAUCCACAGCCCUGCACAGCCACAUCCUCUUUGCACAAAAAAGAGCAGAUACAGGAGGGAAGCAACUUUAA
Castor canadensis (American beaver) is the source of this 460-nucleotide non-coding RNA. The record is from the annotation of a RefSeq genome assembly. NCBI's taxonomy places the organism in Eukaryota, Metazoa, Chordata, Mammalia, Rodentia, Castoridae.